CCUCACGACUCUAUUUUCUCCCUCAAUAGCAAGGUCGUUAGCCAGUACUCCUCCAUCCCUGGCCCCUUGCCGCCGAUGCUGUCCUAUACGUACGUCGUCGACCCCACAUACACUGUAUCAAAGCUUCUGACCACCACCAUAGGCUCACUCAGAGUAGACAAGCUGCUCGGUCUUGGAUUGACUGACCUCUACUUCUACCAGGCAAAAUCCCGCUCCUUGGCCUCCUCUUCUUUCUAUCUCAAGCCUUCCUCAAUCAAAACCGAUCCGGCUUCAACGCCGACUCACCGCUCGAUCCGCCCCCACCACCCCUCCAACGCGUUCACGGCCAACUAAGAAAAAG
RNAcentral lists this long non-coding RNA (340 nucleotides) under Phoenix dactylifera (date palm). RNAcentral describes it as "long non-coding RNA (PDAC_LNC003316)". Lineage: Eukaryota; Viridiplantae; Streptophyta; Magnoliopsida; Arecales; Arecaceae. The record is from RNAcentral.